UGUGGGUGUUAACUCGGUCAGAUGCUAAUUUAUUUCCAUCACCGGGUUAACAUUCAUCCG
Molecule: microRNA precursor, 60 nt
Filed under: Capitella teleta
Lineage: Eukaryota; Metazoa; Annelida; Polychaeta; Capitellidae
Description: Cte-Mir-36_pre stem-loop
Source: RNAcentral